UACGUAGGUGGCAAGCGUUGUCCGGAAUUAUUGGGCGUAAAGAGCUCGUAGGCGGUCUGUCGCGUCGGUCGUGAAAACUUGGGGCUUAACCCUGAGCUUGCGGUCGAUACGGGCAUGACUGGAGUUCGGCAGAGGAGACUGGAAUUCCUGGUGUAGCAGUGAAAUGCGUAGAUAUCAGGAGGAACACCGAUGGCGAAGGCAGGUCUCUGGGCCACUACUGACGCUGAGAAGCGAAAGCAUGGGGAGCGAACAGG
Molecule: ribosomal RNA, 254 nt
Filed under: uncultured bacterium
Lineage: Bacteria
Description: partial 16S ribosomal RNA
Rfam family: Bacterial small subunit ribosomal RNA
Source: RNAcentral